CCGGCCAUUCCCAACCCCCCAACAGCAUCCCCCAUCCCCCAUCAGGAUCACCCCCCACCCCUGCUUCGGCCCUCCUACACUUCUCCCCCACCCCAGCUUUUCUUCCUCUCAGCUACACCCCCAGCCCGGCUCCUUUCCUACCACCCCCAGCGACGCCCCCAUAUCACUACCCCAGCCCCCCCAGCCUCGCCCAGGGCGGGAGGAGCCGCCGCGUCGCCGGGGCAACCGCCGCCCCCCGCCUCCCGUCCACUCGCCCCACCUCUGCCUGGGCGUGGAGCGAAGGCACCGUGGCUGCGCGCAUUUCCGAGCUAGGGAAACACUAGAGCCCCAGCAUACCCAGUAUGGACACCCUGCAGCUCCCCUCUGCUGAAGGACCCCUCACCACAUCCACAGCAUAGACACUGCCUACCGCAGCAGGAGGCACCCAGAAUCUGGGGGCCAUGACCUGGCUUCCGUUUCCAGAAUUUUGGGACUUGAGCCCACUCUCUUCCUCCUCGGUGCAGAGACGGUCGGUUUCGGCUAGCGGUCCUCUUCGUCUGCCUUCCUAACAAUUAGCCUCUGCUGGGUCCUGUGACAGAUGAUGGCGUUUUGAACCCCUGUGAGAUAAGUGACCUAGACUCAAAUCGUGAUCUCAGCGGCUUCUGGAUGAGCCCAACCUAAGAAGCAGUUUGUAAUCAGUCGAAGCCUGGGAACGGACUGCCAGCUGUCUCAGCAGCAAAAGGCCCCUGGUUGACGAUGAAUCUACUAACAGGAUACUGAGAAGGGCGCAGUACCUUCUGUGGCAUUUCUGCCCAAAAUGCAUACCCUCCGCCUAACGUGAGGAAACAUCAGAGAAAUCCAAAUUGAGGGGAUAACUGGCUGGUGCCCUUUGAAAGUGUCAAGGUCAUGAAAGACACAGAAAGACUGAAGAAGGGGAAUGGUUUGGAGCAAACACUUUAGUUUGACAACUGAAUGUAAUGCGGGGUGUUGGAUUGGAUCCUCGACCAGAAAGAGGACAUGAGUGGGAAAAAUGGUAAAUUCUGAAUAAAGCCUGCAGGUUAGUAAAAACAGUGUUGAAUCAAUGUCAGUAUCCCGGUUUGGGUCAUCGUGCUGUGGCUGUGUUAGACGUUAACAUUAGGGAAGCUGUUGAAGGAUACACAGGAACUCUGUACUAUUUUUACCACAUCUUUGUCAGUGUAAAAUUAUUUUAACAUAAAGGUUAAAAAAAGCAUCCCCUACAAAU
This is a long non-coding RNA of Felis catus (domestic cat), 1222 nucleotides long. RefSeq lists it as uncharacterized. The transcript has 6 exons. The record is from RefSeq and is a predicted model, not a curated record. NCBI's taxonomy places the organism in Eukaryota, Metazoa, Chordata, Mammalia, Carnivora, Felidae.